GACGAACGCUGGCGGCGUGCUUAACACAUGCAAGUCGAACGGUAAGGCCCUUCGGGGUACACGAGUGGCGAACGGGUGAGUAACACGUGGGUGAUCUGCCCUGCACUUCGGGAUAAGCCUGGGAAACUGGGUCUAAUACCGGAUAGGACUCCGGACUGCAUGGUCUGGGGUGGAAAGCUUUUGCGGUGUGGGAUGGGCCCGCGGCCUAUCAGCUUGUUGGGGGGGUGAUGGCCUACCAAGGCGACGACGGUAGCCGGCCUGGGAGGGUGACCGGCCACACUGGGACUGAGAUACGGCCCAGACUCCUACGGGAGGCAGCAGUGGGGAAUAUUGCACAAUGGGCGCAAGCCUGAUGCAGCGACGCCGCGUGAGGGAUGACGGCCUUCGGGUUGUAAACCUCUUUUAGUAGGGAAGAGGCGAAAGUGACGGUACCUGCAGAAAAAGCACCGGCUAACUACGUGCCAGCCGCCGCGGUAA
RNAcentral lists this ribosomal RNA (477 nucleotides) under uncultured bacterium. Its description in RNAcentral is "partial 16S ribosomal RNA". It matches the Rfam family "Bacterial small subunit ribosomal RNA", at positions 28 to 523 of the family's 1533-position model. The record is from RNAcentral.